Molecule: ribosomal RNA, 1447 nt
Filed under: Trichogramma sp. Nabis101
Lineage: Eukaryota; Metazoa; Arthropoda; Insecta; Hymenoptera; Trichogrammatidae
Description: eukaryotic LSU rRNA
Rfam family: Eukaryotic small subunit ribosomal RNA (bases 1-197)
Source: RNAcentral
UGAUUACGUCCCUGCCCUUUGUACACACCGCCCGUCGCUACUACCGAUUGAAUGAUUUAGUGAGGUCUUCGGACUGAUGCGCGGCAAUGUGUUUACUACGUUGCCGAUUGUGCCGGGAAGAUGACCAAACUUGAUCAUUUAGAGGAAGUAAAAGUCGUAACAAGGUUUCCGUAGGUGAACCUGCGGAAGGAUCAUUAACGUUCUUGCUCCCGCUGUGCAGCUUUGUAUAGAGAGGCACACGCGGAGAGAUAAACAAGCACCGACGUGUAUCUUUUGUCGAUGACGACGACGACGACGACGACGACGAAUCGUUGUUGCCUGCGUCUCGUCUCGACAUUUGCGUCUUCGCGUGAAACUGCUGCGCGCACUUUCUUACGCUGUUUUUGGUUUUUUUUCUCUGCGCGUGUGUGCGUGUCACGCACACACACACGCACAGUUGAAUUUUUUUUGGUUUUCUGCUUUCUUUGGUUGUGCUCGGUUUCCUCGUGCGAUCAUCGAGAUCGAGAGAGAAAUUUACAAUGAACACGAAAGAAAGGACAAUAGAAAACGACAAUAAAAAACUUUGCGCUUUUUUUUUUCUUCUCGGUGUGCUUGCCGCGCGCCGAGAGCGAGAAAAAAAAAAGAAACAAACAUGUGAUUUUCUUUCGCUCUCGACUCCUCGCGCGCGCGCGCUACGUGCGUGUGUGCUGCGAGUAGUUCGGGGGUGUUGGCAAAAUUAACAAACUUUUUUAUGAUUACCCUGAACGGUGGAUCACUUGGCUCGUGGAUCGAUGAAGAACGCAGCUAAUUGCGCGUCAACUUGUGAACUGCAGGACACAUGAACAUCGACAUUUCGAACGCACAUUGCGGUCCACGGAUCUCGUUCCCGGACCACGCCUGGCUGAGGGUCGUUUAUAAAAACGAACCCGACUGCUCUCUCGCAAGAGAGAGCGUUGAUCUGGGCGCUCGUCUCUAACUCUACGCGCUCUUUUUCUUCCGAGAGGAGGGUAGUGUAGCAGUGUGAUACGUCGCCUCAAACGAGACGCAAGAAAAAAGAUGAAUUCGUUCGUCUAGCUGGCGCGCGCGCGCUUACCGCUUGGAGAGUACGCGAGUACUUCCGAUCGUUCUGCGUCGAGUCCCGGAGCUUUCUCGACUACUCGUCGAGCAGCGGACCGACGUCUAGCACACGAUCAGGCUCGUCCAUGCAUCGGUCAUUGAACGCGCGCGCGCUCGUGCCCUUUUACGCGCUCACACACACACACACACACACGCACUGUGUGCUGUGCUCUGUGCUGCUGCUGCUGCGUAUCAGAGUCAAAGUGGCUAGCUCGAAGAAGCUUUUUGCUGAACGAGUCUUUUUUCUCGAUCGACGACCUCAGAGCAGGCGAGGCCACCCGCUGAAUUUAAGCAUAUUAUUAAGCGGAGGAAAAGAAACUAACGAGGAUUUCCUUAGUAACGGCGAGUGAAA